This 460-nucleotide ribosomal RNA is filed under the name uncultured bacterium. Its description in RNAcentral is "partial 16S ribosomal RNA". It matches the Rfam family "Bacterial small subunit ribosomal RNA", at positions 338 to 795 of the family's 1533-position model. The record is from RNAcentral.
CCUACGGGGGGCAGCAGUGAGGAAUAUUGGUCAAUGGACGAGAGUCUGAACCAGCCAAGUAGCGUGAAGGAUGACUGCCCUAUGGGUUGUAAACUUCUUUUAUAUGGGAAUAAAAUGUUCCACGUGUGGGAUUUUGUAUGUACCAUAUGAAUAAGGAUCGACUAACUCCGUGCCAGCAGCCGCGGUAAUACGGAGGAUCCGAGCGUUAUCCGGAUUUAUUGGGUUUAAAGGGAGCGUAGAUGGGUUGUUAAGUCAGUUGUGAAAGUUUGCGGCUCAACCGUAAAAUUGCAGUUGAAACUGGCAGUCUUGAGUACAGUAGAGGUGGGCGGAAUUCGUGGUGUAGCGGUGAAAUGCUUAGAUAUCACGAAGAACUCCGAUUGCGAAGGCAGUUCACUGGACUGCAACUGACACUGAGGCUCGAAAGUGUGGGUAUCAAACAGGAUUAGAUACCCCAGUAGUC